AACAAAACAAAAACAAACAAACAAAAAACCAGGAAAUCAAGACAGGAAGCAGCUAUGUCAGGUGGGCAGAACUGGGAAUAUCGUAAUACCGCAGCUUGCAUCUCACUAGUCAGAGGGCCACUGCAAGCCUCUGGGAACUAUGAUAAGGUGUUGCACUUGGCCCAUCGACGUGGCAUCUGGGUUCUAUCCAUGAGGAAGGCCGGUAUCAUCCACACUGGGUACAGGCUGACCUACAAAAAGUAAUGCAGACUCAUCUCCCUCCUCCUGCUGUCUGCCGUGCUGAUAAUAGAGCCGAAGAAUCGCCCAAGCUCGAACACCCACCAUCAGCUCACACAGAGUGCGCCUUGAAUUCAGAUGCGUAAUGGGAAGGCAUAGGGAGUGCUGGGGACGCACAACCGAGAGUCCCUACUCUGUGAUAGGAACUCCGCCAUUUUCUUAAUAAGACUGAUGCCAUUCAGAAGGUCCCCAGGGCACACCCGCCUCAUUUGUCCAUUGUGACCUGGCUUUAUGGGCCCAUGGAAGCAAAUGCAUUAUCACCAUUAAACUCCAGGCUUGUCAGAUUUAGUCCACUGCACCUGUGCUCUGUUAUUGAAUGAACUAUAUAAUCAGCAUUCAUACUGCUAAGUCACCUUAAUAUUAAGUUAUAUUUGGGAGAUGGGUGAGCGCUGGGUUCAUCCACAAUGGAAACUCCCCAAAUAAUAGUUGGUUUCCAUAGACAGAGGUCAGCAGACCGCAGUUGACAUUGUAAGCCAGCACCCAGGUGCCUCACUUUCACACUGCUUCAUCUUGUAUGCAGUCUAGUUUCAAGGUUAUGUCACUACCCAGGAAGGCUGUAGGCCUUCUAGCCACCAUAUUUGAAUCCCAACCGUCUGGAAAGCAGAAGUCAAUGGCUCUUGAAAGGCAUUUCCUAGCAGUCACUUGUCACUGAUACAGUUCCACUAGAACUGAGUCACAGGGUCACAAUUUACGUACAGAUCAGGCUUGUAUGGGGUGACUGUAGUGGUUUUUGUUUUGUUUUGUUUAAGAAGUCAGGUGAUCAUUACCCUCAAAGACUGAGGAAAAGGAUACUGGGAGCAAGGUCAUCUUGGCAACUCCAAUUCCUUAUCCACAUUAGUAGAAUAAAUAUUUAACUCUUCAAGGCCAAGGCCAAGAGUUCAUGCUUCUUGUGCAUGCCUAUUGCUCAUACGGACUGUGCAUGAUCUUAGGUAAUUUACGAGCAAUAUUGUAGUUAAUACUCACAAGGCUCUCUGAAGACACUAUUAUCCUACCACAUAUGUCAGAAAACAGAGCCCAGCGGCCAAGGUCAUAGAGUUCACAAGAAGCAUAGCCUCACUUGGAGGAUAAGUUCUUAAUUAACUUUGUGCGCCUUUGGACAAUGUGGUGGUGGUGGUGGUGGUGGGUGGGGGGAGAACUUUCUUGUCUUUGGCUGCUGUUCCUUUGGAAUUUUUCAUUACACAUAUAAAGAGUCCGUCUUCUCUGGAGCUCUGGUUGGGUCUUUGAAUUAACAACUAUUUUGUCCACAUUUCUUCUUAUGUCUGUUUUGGAGUCUUGUCCUUUAUAAAUAGGAUAAAAAGGGUCAGAAUGAGCCUUAAUUUGGAGAAGAAUGGGAAAUCUGUCCGUGCUGGAGAGCCCAGCAAAUGAGCCUGACCUGGCAGAGCUCCAAAGGACAGGUUCCAAAGCUCUGUGGCAAGAAAGAUAAGCCCUGGAUCCACCACUCACCCCAGGACAACACCCUUUACCUGCUGUUUGCUAGGCUAAGACUUGGAAUGUUUGAUAUGAGGACUCAAAUGUGAGCGUACAUGUGCCCACCACGAAUACAAGCACCAGGCAACAGAGAGCAUCUGACAGGCCUGUGUUACUUUACUAUCUUGCUGCUGGCCCGUGGGACUUCAUUAAGACUUCCAGCUGUAUGCAAACAGGAAAGAAACGUGAACGCUUAGAGGGUGGAAGAAAGGUGUGGCAUGACUAACUGCACAGGCCAAGCCAAACUGCCUUUUGUCAGUAUACUUUCCUGCAGGAACAGGAACGAAACCAGAGCAUCCGUCCACUGUAUGUAUGGAAGAGGAAGCGGGACUUGGUGCCCAGGGCUCAGAAACCCAGGCAGACCCCAGCCAGUCCUGUAGAGACAAUA
Mus musculus (house mouse) is the source of this 2131-nucleotide long non-coding RNA. RefSeq annotates it as predicted gene, 54226. The transcript has 3 exons. NCBI's taxonomy places the organism in Eukaryota, Metazoa, Chordata, Mammalia, Rodentia, Muridae. The record is from RefSeq and is a predicted model, not a curated record.